GCGGACGUGGCGAAAUCGGUAGACGCGACAGACUUAAAAUCUGUUUCCCAUGGAGUGCGGGUUCAAGUCCCGCCGUCCGCACCA
Molecule: transfer RNA, 84 nt
Filed under: Sphingobium algorifonticola
Lineage: Bacteria; Pseudomonadati; Pseudomonadota; Alphaproteobacteria; Sphingomonadales; Sphingobiaceae
Description: Sphingobium sp. TLA-22 tRNA-Leu
Rfam family: tRNA
About the family: Transfer RNA (tRNA) molecules are approximately 80 nucleotides in length. Their secondary structure includes four short double-helical elements and three loops (D, anti-codon, and T loops).
Source: RNAcentral